RNAcentral lists this ribosomal RNA (587 nucleotides) under uncultured bacterium. RNAcentral's name for it is "bacterial SSU rRNA". It matches the Rfam family "Bacterial small subunit ribosomal RNA", at positions 338 to 916 of the family's 1533-position model. The record is from RNAcentral.
CCUACGGGAGGCAGCAGUGGGGAAUAUUGGACAAUGGGCGCAAGCCUGAUCCAGCCAUGCCGCGUGUGUGAAGAAGGCCUUCGGGUUGUAAAGCACUUUUGUCCGGAAAGAAAAGUUCUCGGUUAAUACCCGGGGAUCCUGACGGUACCGGAAGAAUAAGCACCGGCUAACUUCGUGCCAGCAGCCGCGGUAAUACGAAGGGUGCAAGCGUUACUCGGAAUUACUGGGCGUAAAGCGUGCGUAGGUGGUUUGUUAAGUCUGAUGUGAAAGCCCUGGGCUCAACCUGGGAAUGGCAUUGGAUACUGGCGAGCUAGAGUGCGGUAGAGGGUAGUGGAAUUCCCGGUGUAGCAGUGAAAUGCGUAGAGAUCGGGAGGAACAUCUGUGGCGAAGGCGACUACCUGGACCAGCACUGACACUGAGGCACGAAAGCGUGGGGAGCAAACAGGAUUAGAUACCCUGGUAGUCCACGCCCUAAACGAUGCGAACUGGAUGUUGGGAGCAAUUAGGCUCUCAGUAUCGAAGCUAACGCGUUAAGUUCGCCGCCUGGGGAGUACAGUCGCAAGACUGAAACUCAAAGGAAUUGACGG